This is a long non-coding RNA of Marmota monax (woodchuck), 12607 nucleotides long. RefSeq lists it as uncharacterized. NCBI's taxonomy places the organism in Eukaryota, Metazoa, Chordata, Mammalia, Rodentia, Sciuridae. The record is from RefSeq and is a predicted model, not a curated record. The transcript has 2 exons.
GGUGGGGGUGGGUAAGUACCUCAAGGUGCUGCAGCUCCACCGCGACCUGAGGCCCUUUGGCGUUAAUAAUUGGCUGCUGGGACAAGUUUUGUUUGAUAUUUAAUACUAAAUUAUCCACUGAGGUGUGUGUGUGGUUUUUUUUUUUUUUUGGUUGCGUUCUGGAAAUGAUACGUCGAGGGAAAUGUGAAGUGUGUGGCAAUUAGAAACUGAUCGAGUAGAAAGUUCAAUUUUUGAGGGGGAAAGGGUAUGGAAUUUGUCAUUCUAAUGUUAUUUCCAUUACAAAGUAAUUGCUCAACCUUGCACCUGUGUAUCACUGAAGUCAUCAACCACAACCUCUUCCUGAAAGACAGGACAUUCUGUUUUAAAAUUAGUUACCACUUCUCCAUCAAAAAAGAAACUUUGGGGGCUUUUCGCAUUAGCACAGCGAAAAGCCCUGUGCUCAAACCUUCAAGCCCCAGCACUUAAAAAAAGAAAGAAAGAAAGAAAAGAAAACAAGGAAAAAAAUAUUGUACUAAGAUUACAAAGAUAACCAGACGUGGUGUGCCUCGUAAUUAAAGAACACACUGUGAACACAUAACACACGUACAAACCACACUCACGCCCCACCCAUACAUAUACCAGAGCAUAUACAAUCCAAAUCUGAUCAGGUCCCUAAAUUGGACUGUUAAUGUAUAGAAGCUGGAAAGAACCGAUGAACAUGUUAAACCACACCACAGGAAUCCAAAUCAACAAGAUCUGACUGGGGAACCCUAUAGCAAGACUCCUUGGUUUUUUAAUAAAUAAAAGAAAGGAAACCUACAAAUUAACUGGGACUUAAAAGAUGAAUCAACCCAUUGCAAUAUGUUGACUUCACUUAGAUUCUGACUCAAAUAAUCAUUUUUAAAAGUUUGAUAUGCAAACAUUAAAUAUCAAUUGGAUAGGUGAAUUAAGAAAUUAUUAACUUUUAAGCGUGAUGAUAGCAUUAUGGUUAUUGCAUCUUUAAAGAGCUUUUAUUGCUUACAGAUUCAUACCAGAAAAGAAAAACUAAACUACAACUGAAUUAUGGUACAUGUAAUUAACCAUACAAUGUAAUGCAAGACACGACUAUGUACCAUUUCUUUAUAUAUUUAUAUGAAUUGAGCUACAAAAUAUACUGUUAAAUUGCAAAACAGCAGGUAUGAAGGGAGGGGUGUGUAUAUAUAAUACGUGUUUCCUUGGAUAUGCAUAAAAUGUUUAUCAGGACAAACAAGAAAUGAUUACUUUGUGGUAGAGUAAGUAAGUAGGGGAGAGAGUGUGGAAGGGAUUUUUUUCCCACUGAAUACUUUGUCACAUUUGAAGUGAAAAAAUAAUGUGGAUUUUUGACAUUCGUAGAAAAAGGAGAGAUUUUGAGCUAUAGAAUUGUUGUAGGGAUUGACAGUUACUUAACAUCUAGGCAUGCUUUAGUUUGCAUUUUUAAAAUUUCUUAAUGUGUAAACACAAUCAAAAAGGUAACUGAGUACAAAUACAAUGCUUUGGAGUUUUAAGAUUUUUAAUACAUUAUCUGGCUCUCACAUCUUUUCCUUACUUUUGUCAAGUAAUUUUCAGUGAGGCAAUCAUACCAGUUAUUCUGGAAAGAACUGUCCAGUCUACUUUUCAAAGCUGUGGUAAAUCUGAAUAGUUUCAGAUGACAUUAGGAAAUUUCAGAUGAGAGCAACACACUUUUGAAAUUGACACAUUUUUCUACACAGUUGUUUUCUUUUCCAUUUGCUUAAUCUUUGAAUAGGCAAAUAAUCUUUAUGACCAUUUCAAUAAUGAUUUAAUUGAGAUCUAGUAAUGAUGUUGAAAGGUAGUAGCCACAGGAAGCUUUGUCAUAUUUAUAGAAGAGAAAUUAAACAUAUUUUUAUAUUCACUAUGAACAAACCUGAACCACAAUAAUAAUAUAUCAUCUUUUUCUGGACAUCAAGUAACCCAGUCAGCAGUUAGUUGCCAACUUAUAUCUUUUCUUACAUAUUUUAAAAUGUAUUAUUGGAUUAUAAAAUUAGCACAUUUGAUUUUGCAAUUAAAACAUUCACAGAUUUGUUUUUAACUAAAGUGGAGUUAGUGUAAUAGGAAAUACACUCCACCUUGCCUGUCUGUUCUCUGUCCUGCUGGUCUCACUCUGUAGCAGGGGACAUUGUGUACUCCCACUUACUGCUAGCAUCUUUAGUCCCAUGUGGUCUUUACUCUCAGAGUCUAAUCUGGGCCUGUCUCCUCGAGGUCCCUGUCCUUCCAGUACACAGCCUUCUCAGGACUCUGGGCCUCCCUUCUUUGGAGGGAUACUCACCCUCAGCUGAGUUCCUUAUCCAUGAGGGGUUCUGCAGGAUUCUGUGGGAUUGUCCUCAGGCUUAUCAGUUAGACAUUUCCCUUAUUGAUUGUUAAUGUACUGCUUAAAUGCACUGCAAACAGGGCUACCCUUUGAGACUUUACGCUCUCUGGUUAUACCAAGAGAGCCAGGCAGGCAACCAUACCUUUUGCCUGCCUGUGUCUCAACUUACCAGGAGUGCAAUAUUGGUAGAAGCACAGGUGGCAGGAGGAAAUUGUGUGGUGGUCUCAAAAGAAGCAGGAAAAAGGUUUGAUAAAAUUUAAUGUCUAUUGGCAACAACUGGGUAGAAGAUCCAGUAGAACUGAAGUCUUGGAAUAAAAUGAGAGAAUUUCACAAGGUUGUUAGCUAGAAAAUUAAUGUACAAAAAAUUUGUAAUUUAAUAUACCAGCAACAACCAGUUCAAAGAUUUAAUUAGAAAGAAGGCACUUAUAAUAACAUAAAAAUGUACCUAGAAACAAAUCUAAGAUAUAUGAGACCUUCAAGAUCAAAUUAUAUAUAUAAAUGUGUAUACACACACACACACACACGUAUCAGGGCAGAUAUGGAAGAAUGAAAGGAUCAAGAACCCCUAAGACAAAUCUAGGACAAAACAAGGUAAGGGGGUUUACCCUGCCAAAUACUAAGGUUUGUGUAGAGCUUUAAUUUAUAAUAUAGACGGUGUCUUAGUCUGUCCAGGCUCUUCUAAUACAUUGCCAUAGACUGGGGGUGGCUGAUAGACAAAAGAAAUGUAUUCUUACAGUUCUGGAAGCCAACAAGUGUGUGAUGAAGGCACUGGCAGUUUCUGUGUCUGGUAAGACUCUUCCUGGCAUUUUCUUACCGUGUCCUCCUGAGGUGGAAUGCAGGAGACAUCUCUGUGUAGUCUCUUUCAUAAGGGCACUAAUCCUAUGUGCCAGGGUCCAGCCCCGGCAGGGGAUCCAGGGGUCCUGAAGGAGGAGUGACGUUGGCAAAAGAAGAAUAUAUUUUUAUAUCUUUUUUACAAGAGUUUUUUUAGGUAGUUAAUGAAGAGCUUCAAAGCCCUAAACUUAUUUGAUUUACAUAAUUUUCAAGAGUUACAAUCUUUUCUGACAUACAUUGAUAGUGAGUACAUUGUUCAAAAUAUUUUUCUUUUUAAAAAAUAUUUAUUUUUUAGUUUUAGGUGGACACAGUAUCUUUAUUUUACAUUUAUGUGGUGCUAAGGAUAGAACCCAGUGCCCCGAGCAUGCUAGGCAAGCACUCCACCACUGAGCCACAACCCUAGCCCCUCAAAAUAUUUUUCUAUAAUCUUAGCCAAUCAUGAUUAAGCUUUUACGUUUUUACCUCAAUCACUAGGUGUUAGACUAGGCAACAAGACUACAUGUCUCCUGACCUAUUAUUCACUUUAAGCAUACUUUAUUUCAUUAACCUUUAACUUUAAAACAUACUUAUGAUUGUUGGUAAACUUUCUUACUUCUAAACUAAAAUCCCAGUAAAACACACUUAAAAUAGUGAAAGUCUAUUACUUUAAAAGCCUACUAUUCUGAAGUGCCUCUAAAAUAUAUCUAUGUUAAUUUUACAUUAUUUUAUUUUUAAUUUCCAAGGUAAUUUCCUUUUUUCAUAUGACCUAUUUUACUGCUUUCUUACCGAGUUUCCUUGAUCCUUGGUCAAAGCACACCAAUUCUUAUGUCUUUGUAAUCUUUAACUAAAGGGCAGGCUUUGCACCUCAACCCAUUUGUUAUUUAUAUUAACUGUGUGUUUCCCAUUUUCAUCAUAAAUUCCUGUCUAAAGCAAAGGACCGUCUUGGGGGGGGGGGUGUAUGUUGCAGAGGUUGUGGCUUUAGAAUUGGGGGCUUAAUGUAAAUUGUUAAGCUUUCCUCAGGAACCUCGAUUUGCAAUCUUUUUCCCGUAAAUUUCUUGAGGAAUAACACUAUUGAUUGUAUCCUGAGAGAUAUUGAAACACACCUUGUGGCAUGUCUUAAUUGUAUCCUUAGUUUCAUUCUGGGAAUUUUCCUGCAAUCUUAGGCAAUACGUACUCUUAUUAUUGAUUGACAUAUGCCCUAUUAUCCAUAUCAUGAGUAUCAUAAACAAAACACUUAACAUUCCCCAUGGUUCUGGUUUCCAGAUUGUGCGGCCCUGCUACAGCAUCCCCCAUGCUGUGACCCUUUCAGACAGUGGGUAGAGGAAUGCCUUCACCACCUAUGCACGGGGGUUCUACCCUCAUGAUGUAAUCUCUUCUUAAGCAUCCCACUUCCUAAUACCAUCACAUUAGGAAUUAGACUUCAACACAUGAAUUGUGGUGGCAGCACAAACUCUUAGUCUAUAGCAGCUAGCAAAACAGUAAUUCAGGAACAAAGAAUAUAGUAAUAGGACAGAAUAGGGUCCAGAAAUAAAGCCUGUAAGUAUGUAGAACUAGAAGAUCUAUAAAGAGAAGGAAGACUUUUCACAUGAAAUUGGACCUACCUCGUGUAAAUUCAAGUUAUUUUAUGACUUAAAUGUAUAAGAUGAAACUAAGAAACUUUUGAAUUUAGGAGAAUAUGUUCUUGAGGGAAGUUCAGGGGAGGAUUUCUUAAGGUGUAAAGAGCACAAACCAUCAAGAAAGAGAAUUUGAAAACUAAAUUAUGUAAUUAAAGGACUGUUCAUCAAAAUGCAACAUAAAGAAGAAUGAAAAGACAAAUAACAAACUUAAGAGAAGAUAUUCCCAGGACAUAAAAUCAAUAAAGGGUUAUGGGCUGGAGUUGUGGCUCAGUGGCAGAGCACCUGCCUAACAUGUGUGAGACACUGGGUUCAAUCCUUAGCACCGCCUGCAAAAAUAAAUAAAUAAAAGCAUGAUGCCCAUCUACAACUACCAAAAAAAAAUUAAUAAAGGGUUAGUACUUAAAGGAUAUGAAGAACUUUAGAAUAAGAAGAAAAAGAGGCUGGAGAUAUAUGUAGCUAAGAGGUACUGGGUUCCAUCCCCACCCCCCGAUCCCCCCAAAAAAGGAAAAAUAGAAAAUAGCAGAAUAAAUAAAGGAUUGAAGAGAAAAGGAAGUACUAUGGUGUCUUGGUCAAGGUAUAACCAGAAAAUAGACACCAUUCUAGGUAUUUGUAACAGAAGGAGUUUAUUGCAGGGCACUGGUUAGAUAGGGGACAAGAGUUGAGAGGUAAUAGGGACAGGAAGGACAAUGUGGGAAGCCACUCUUAAUCCCUCAGUUGGAAGGCCUUCUCAGGCAGCUCACACCUCCUAGCAGGAACCUGGUCUUCUGUGGUUCUGUCUACACCAUCAACUAAGGAGGUGAAAGUCCUCUACAAUGAAAACUAUAGAACAUUGAAGAGACAUUGAAAAAGAUCUCAGAAAAUGGAAAGACCUCCCAUGUUCAUGGAUAGGCAGAAUUAAUAUUGUUAAGCUGGUCAUUCUACCAAUCUCCAUCAAGAUACCAAUGGCAUUCUUCACAGAAUUAGACAAAACAGUCCUAAAAUUCAUUUGGAAGAAUAAAAUAACCAAAACAAUUCUAAGCCAAAAAAAGCAACGCUGGAGGCAACACAAUACCUCACUUCAAAUACUACAGAGCUAUAGUAACAGAAAUUGCAUGAUACCAGCAUAAAAACAGACACAUAGACCAAUGAUACAGAAUAAGACACAGAGACAAAUCCUAGACAUCUACAAUCAUCUGAUUCUUGACAAAGCUGCCAAAAAUAUAUCUUGAAGACAGCCCUUUUAGCAAAUGGUACCAGGAAAACUGGUUAUUCAUAGAUUCAGAAUGAGACUAGAUCAUUAUUCACCAUGUACAAAAUUCAACUCAAAAUAGAUCAAAGACCUAGGAAUUAGAUCAGAACUAUGCAACUUCUAGAAGAAAAUGUAGGGUCAACACUGCAGCAUAUAGGCACAGGAAACAACUUUCUCAACAGGACCCCUGAAGCUCAGGAAAUAAUGCCGAGAGUUAAUAAGUGAGAUAGCAUCAAAUUAAAAACAUUUAUGCACCAAAGGAAAACAAUAAGGAAUUUGAAGAGAGAACCUACAGAAUGGGAGAGAAUUUUUGCUAGCUAUUCUUCUGGCAGAGAAUUAAUAUUUAGAAUAUAUAAAAUCUUAACACCAAAAAACCCAAACAAACAACCCUAUUAAGCCUAUAAAUAAAUGGACAAAUGAACUAAACAGAUGCUUCUCAAAAGAAGAAAUACAAAUGGCCAACAAAUAUAUGAAAAACAUGUUCAAACCAUUAGCAAUGAGGGAAAUUCAAGUCAAAACUACACUGAGAUUGCCAGGCACUUCUGUAAUCCCAGGGGCUUGGGGGCUGAGACAGGAGGAUCACAAGUUUAAAGCCAGCCUCAGCAAAAGUGAGGCCCUAAACAACUCAGUGAGACUCUGUUUUUAAAUAAAAUGCAAAAUAGGGCUGGGGACGAGGCUCAGUGAUUGAGUACCCCUGGGUUCAAUCCCUGGUACCCCCUCCAAAAAAAAAAAAAAAACUACACUGAGAUUUCAUCUCACACAGUCAGAAUGGCAGUCAUCAAGAAUAUCAAGAAAACAAAUAAUAAUAAAUGCUGGAAAGGAUAUAGAGAAAAAGGAACAUUUUUACACUGUUGGUGGGAUUGUAAAUGAGUACAACCACUGUGGAAAUCAACAUGGAAGUUCUUCAAAAGGCCAGGCAUGGAACCACUAUGUGACCCAGCUGUAAUACUCUUCAGUAUUUAUCCUAACGAAUGAAAGUCAUCAUACUAGAGCAAUACAUGCACACUCAUGUUUAUAGCAGCACUUUCACAAUAGUCAAACUAUGGAUUCAGCCUAUGUGUCCAUCAAAAUAUGACUACUUAAUGUGGUAUAUAUAGACAAUGGAUUAUAUAUCAUCUUGAAGCCAUUAACAGUGAUGUAUUAGGGCCAGUAUGCAAGUACUGAAAGUUAAAUCAUUACAAACUUGUGAGUCAGUUGAUGUCACAUUGGUCCCUUGAAAUUGACCACCAUAGGAGUAUUUAAGCAUAGAAAUCUGCAGUUACUAUACAUCAUGGCUUCUUCCUCCCAUGCAAGUUUGUUGUAGAACAUUUGCCAGCCCACCAUUGAAUGUAUAUCUGUCUAGCACGUAGAUACGAAAAGAUCUAAAGAAAAAUGUGGAAAUGACUAUACCAAACUCAGAAUAUUGGUUACCACUUGUCUUCAAUUUCUGUUACUAUAACUGAAUACUAUAGACUGGAUAAUUUAUAAAGAAUAUAUGUUUAUUUAGCUCACAGUUGUGAGGCUGGGAAGUCCAAGAGCAUGGCACAGGUAUAUACUCAGCAUCUGGUGAGAGUCUUUCUUUCUGCAUCAUAACAUGGUAGAGGGCAUCACCUGGUGGAACAGAGCCACCAAGUCAGAAAGUGAUUGCUUUCUCUCUCUCAGUAACCCAUUAAUCCAUAUGUCAGUGAAUUCACUAAUGUGGGCAGUGCCAUCAUGACGCAAUCACCUCCCCAAAGGCUCACCUCCAAAUACCAUUAAAAUUUGAAUUGGGAGAUUGAGUUUCCAACACAUGAAAUUUGGGGGAUAGAUGCAAACCAUAGUGCCACUGGAAGGGACAUAAUUUCUGAGGAACACACAGGGCUUCUGGGGUUAAUCAUUUCUCCUCCGUGGACAGAGCAGUACAUGCAGUUGUACAAAAGACCACAAACUCACAUUUUUGAAAUGUGUGUUUGUCACUUAUUAGAGAUCUGUAUGCAGAAAGAAAUGAGGGGACCAACCAGUAAGUCCAGGGACCAGAACAUCUCAAGGCUGGACAUCAGUUUCUUCAUUUAACCACCUACAAUUCCUUCCCCUAACUAUACAUACCUCUUCCUAGAACUGCUUUGGGAUCCACACAACAGGGAGGGCCUUGUGCUCAUCAUUAACAAACUUCAAAGGGCCAGAACAUUUGAGAAUAUAUUCAAACAUAUAUAUAUCAACAAGGGAAGUCACACUAUUCAAUCAGAAGAAGGCAAAGGAUGAAAGGGUCAUGAUGGUUGUAGAUAAAGAUUUUGUUAUUGUUAUCAGCAUUUUAACCUUUAAGCUGAGUUUUAUUAUGUAUAAAGGGUUGGUUUCUUCUUUAGCAUGCAGUGUUUGUUUUACUUGUUAUUUUUUACUCUGUAAAUAUAAAUUUUCAUACACUACUUUGCUACGUUUCACAAUUAAUUAAAUGUAAAAAUUACUAUGAGGGGCUGGGGUUGUGGCUCAGCGGUAGAGCACUUGUCUAGCACGUGCAAGGCGCUGGGUUCGAUCCUCAACACCACAUAAAAAUAAAUAAAUAAAAUAAAGUUAUUGUGUCCAACUACAACUAAGUAAAAAGUUUUUUUAAAAAAUUAGUAUGAGGGCUGAGUCUGUGGCUCAGUGGUAGCACACUUGCCUGGCAUGUGUGAGGCACUGGGUUCGAUUUUCAGCACCACAUAUAAAUAAAUAAAGGUCUAUCAACAACUAAAAAAAAUACCUUUGUAAAAAUUAGUAUGAGAGGAAAUAAUAUUAUAUAUGCUAUACUAUAUUUCACAAUACAUUUAAAAAGAAUAAAUUUUAUAAAAAUUUUAUUUUGUACAAUAAAUGUCUGCACUAUUGGCUCACUAAAAAAAUUCCUAGACUGAAAUUAGAAAAUCAAACCAUCUUGCAGCUAAGGCCUUAACCCUGUGGGAGAGUGCUAAAAGCUUUCUGAGGUCUUUGCUGAUUUUAAAGCAGUAGAAAACUGGGACAGAAGACUGAAUUUGAAAGAGUUCAAUAGGAUUCUCUGAAUGUUCUGGGCAGAUAUCCAGGAUGAAGGCCGGAGGUGGAGAGGAGAACACUGUAUUGUUCACAUUUGUUGAUAAGAAUGUCUUAAAAAGUGAAACUUCUUCCUCGAAGCAGAAGGGAUUCUGAUAGGGUCUAAAUGUUUACCAGGAAUGUGAUUGGCUCAGGCAAAAUGGAUAGCUAUGUAGAAAGAGCCCUUAAUCUAUAAUCAAGGUGGAAAGGACAGCACUUAAGGGUAAUGUUUUCAUGACAAUUGCUAAAAUUUCAGAGCAGCACAUGGAUUCUUUUUUGUUGUUGUUGUUCUGGAGACUGAACCCAGGGCAAGCUAGCAUAUGUUCUACCACUGAGCUAAACCCUCAGUGCUCCUCUUUCUCUUUUAAUUGUAGGAAAAUAUUAACUUUUCACAGUACCCAUAAAGAACCUCUACCUGAUAAUAUGGAAGCUAAAAUGGGUUUUGGUAAUGUGGGGAGACAGAAAGAGACCAGAAAAUGGAACUAGGCUGAUGCCCCCUAAGUAGUCUCAGAUAAGACCACAUCAGGGCAGCCAGCCUGCGAAGGACCAGGGUCUGGAUAAUGGUGACUUCUGACAGCAUACUGGGAGGCUGUGACCUGGGUUCUGGUCCACGUUUUCUGCUGGUCUGAAAUAAAUACUAAUCCUCAGAUGUGGAAAGCUCACCUGAAAAUGCCCUUUACCAAAUUUUAUUAUUAUUUUGCUGUUGUAAAUGGGAUGUUUUCCACCAGUAUGUCAUCUAAAUGUUAAGGAUAUUUUUGAGGGUUGCCUUUAAAUAUUUUGAGCAAUAGGCUCACAGACUUGGAGCUCAGAAUUUAUAAAAUAAACAAAAUAGGGAGGAAACCGGAUGAUGACAAGAGGUUUUCCUGUCACACAGUAAGGCAAUAAUACAGUGUUCCGCACUCCCCCCCCACCAGCUAGCAGGAAAGAAUGAAUGCAUUCCCUUAAAAAUCAAGAACAACGCAAGAAAGUUCACUCUAUUUCCAUUCAACAUUGUAUAGGAAUUUUAGCCAGUGCAGUAAGGAAAAAGACACAUAAAAGUAUACAGAUGGGAAAGGAAAUUGUAAAAUGUUAUGUUAAAAUGACUUAGAAAUUGUAAGGAAUCUAUAAAGACUCCUACUCUGUAAAUGUAAAUGAGUUUGGCAAGGUCAUUGGAUAAAAGGCCAAAAUACAAAAAUCAAUGGCAACAGUCAAAGGUAGCAACAAGCCAUUGGAAAUUGAAGUUAAAAGCCAUUUAUGACAGCAUCAAAAGCAUGAAAUGCUUAGUCGUAAAUCUAACGCAAUAUGUGGAAGACCUGUAUGUGAAAAUUCACAGUAUAGUUGGAAUAAAUUAAAGAAGACCUAAAUAGAUGGGAAGAUAUACCAUUGCUCAUGGAAUUAUUAAGAUAUUAAAUAUCAAAUGCACUUAGAUUGAAUGUGAUUCCACUGAACAUUCCAGAAACUGUCAAACUGAUUCUAAAAAUUGGAAAGGAAUGCAAAGGAUCUAAACUAGACAAGACAAUUUUGAGAAAGAAGUUGGAAGAUGUAUCAUGCUAAAUUUUUAAAUUAUAAUAAAUCUUUUAAAAGCUAAUGUAAUUUGACAGAAUGGUAUAGUGUAAAUAUAGACACACAGAUCAACUGAACAGAAUAGAAUUUGUAAGUGGCCCAUUUGUUUUUGACAAACGGACAAUGAAAUUGAAUAGAAAAAAGGUGUUUUUCAAUGAUGUUUCUGGAACAAAUGGACAUUUAUAUAGAAAAACAAUAAAACCUAUUAUUUCUUACACAAUACACAAAAAAUUGAUCAAAGCAUGUUUAAACCUUAGAAAAUAUGAUUCAAACCCUAUGAAAUUAUUAGUAGAAGGCCUAAGAGAAAAACCUUGGUGAUCUUGGGGUAAGAUUUCUUAGAAUGAAGAAAAAUAGAAAUUAUAAAAGAAAAACGAGGGAAUGGGAUUAUGGCUCAGCAGUAGAGUGCUCACCUAACUUGUGCUAGGGGCUGGGUUCAAUCCUCAGCACCACAUAAAAAUAAAUAAAUAAAAUAAAGGUAUUGUGUCCAACUACAACUAAAAAAAAUAUUAAAAAAAGAAAAAAACUUGAAAGACUGAACUUUAUCAAAAUUAAGUACUGCUACUUUUCAAAACACACUGUUAUGAAAAUAAAGGAAGCUGUAGAUUGUGGGAAAUUAUUUUCAAUGUAUAUAUAUGACAAAGGCCUUAUAUGUAGAAUAUAGAUACAACUCCUGUUCAAUAAAAAGAUAUAAUUUCCAAAUAUAAACUAAAGAUUUGAAGAUACUCCACUAAAGAAGAUAUGAAAGUAUCUAGCAAGCACACGAGAAGCUGCUUAGCAUCAUUUGUCAUCAGAGAAGUGCAAAUUUAAACCACAAUGAAAUACUAUCUUAUAUCCUCUAUCCUGGCUUAAAAAAAAAAAUAGUUGAUGCCCUUUCCCCUGGUCAGUAGUCCAGAAAGCACGUGAAACUUAGAAUUCCUGUAAAAGAUGUAAACCAGCAAGAGUUCAUCAGAGUUCUGGCAGCCUUUCUUUAAAAAUCCAGGAAGCUGAAGGUCCUCGAGUGGGUGGACACAGUCCAGCUGGCCAAGCACAAACAACUUGUUCCCUAUAAUAAGAAUUGGUUCUUCACAUCAGCUGUUUCCAUAUCAGGGCACCUGGACCUCUGGGGGUGGUGCAAGAGUUGGCUCCAUGACUACAUUCUAAAGGAAAGAUCAGAGAAAUGGCAUCACGCCCAGCCACUUCAGCCAAGUCAUCAAGAAUGUGGCCUGGUCGUGAUGGCUGCACAACAAUGUGAAUGUACUCAAAACUACUGCAUUGUAUGCUUCAAAAUGGUUAAGAUGGUAAAUGUUAUGUUUUGUGUUUUUUGUGUAUUUUACCACAAGGAAAAAAAAAGUAGAUACAUCAGUGGAACAAAACAGUCUAUAAAUAGAUUGCAGGCAUAUGGUCUACUGGUUUUCAAAAAAGUGUUGUAAUGGAAUAAAAAGAAGAGAGAGUAAGAGUGUGUGUGUGUGUGUGUGUGUGUGUGCUUUUUUCAGAAAGAAAUAUAGCAUGAAACUCACUGAGCUGCUUUGUGCAAGCUGUAUGACAUUGGCCUUCACCAUUUCUAAGAACAAUUCAUUUAUGAAGCCUAUAUGCCAGGUUCCAGGUCUGAUAGUUUACUUGAAUUCUUUAAUUUUUGCAACAACCUUAGGAGAUAGGAUUUAUUUUACAAAUACUAAUACUGAGCCUCGGAGAUCUUAGGUACCCAUGCUGGUGACUGGGAGAGCUGUUUGAAAGCUCCUUUAUCAAUUCCAGAACAAGUGCACUUGGCCUUUACCUCUAAGUUGCAUCUUUCUGUGUAAGGAGUUUUGGAGAGGUUCCUAUCUUCUACCAUUGUAACCCAAGGACCACUUUCCUUGUCCUGAUUCUAAGCCUAAGGUGAAGAACUUGUUUUCUCUCCUGCUGCUCUAGAGGAGGCAAAGUGAGGCAGUGCAGAAAGUCCUAUGAACAAAUACCCCGAGUUGCCAUUUGAGAGCAGGUGGCCUUGUGCAAAUCACUGUGACUUCAUGGAUGAAAAAGUUGCCAAUUUAAAUCAGCUCCAAGUUUCCUUUCUGUUCUAGGAUUCUAAGAUAUGACAAAGCUAAGAUAGGCUGAAAAUAAAUUUUCUCAGAAGGCUAA